GCCAAAAGAAUUUAUUUAUUUAUUUAUUAAGGUAACUCACAAUUUGGAAGAGAAAAAAGAAGCAGGCAGCUGAUUUCAUGGGGGACUUCAAAUAUGAAGUACACUGUUUUAAUAACCAGAUACUUGGAGCUUGAUCAAGUUGAUAUUAUUUAUACAUUAUGAUCUGAUUAAAUCUUUUAAGUUUAGAGAAAGUCUAGUGGUUGAUUUCCCAUAAGCAUGUGAAGCUCCUACAAACAAACCAGGUGGUGGGAGUCCUUCCAAGGCUUCCUCACAGCAAUAUCCUUUGGGGAAUGCAAACCUACCUGUAGGUAAGGUAAAUAUUCACAGCUCAAGGUUACAGCCAGACUCCAGUAAUAUAUAACCAUAAAUAUGAUAUUUGAUAUAAGCUUGAAGGUGUGUGUUACCUCCCUGAUUUUGUUUAUUUAUGUGUCUGGUUUUACAUUUGCAUACUGCCUAGUCAAGUUUGAUAGUGAUGCAGUGUCGACUCUCCAAAGUUUGAAUACCUCCCAAACUGUAAUGAAGUCUUCCACUUUCCAGCAGUCUGGUAUCCCCCACAAAACUGUUAUCAAAUCUGACUUGCUUCUACUGUCAUUCAGAAUCACAACCUCAGCUUUUAUGGAGAUGGAGCCAUCCUGCAGACAACACCGAGACUCAGAAAAAACUAAAAGUGGGCAACCAAGGUGAAGUGUAGAAUUUAGUAUUUCACAUUACUGCCAUCUCCUGCAACAUAGGAAUCAAAGACCAGAAACAAAAUUCUGUGAGUGGACAGGUAAUUCUAGACUACCAACAAGGUGCUGUGACCCAAACUAAUCACCUGCACAGUGAUUAAUUAGUUAAAUCAGAAAUCGAAAAUACACGGCAUAACCAAACCAAAGCUUAGGUUCUAUCUCUACAAUGUUUUCCAGAUUAAACUUUGCCUUCCUUUUUGCAUGUUCUGUAAUCUAUUCUUAUACUAAUCCUGUUAAUUAUUUUUACAUCUUGGGUAUUUUCUCAAUCUGCAUAGAGAGACAUAAACUAAGGGAACACCAAAAGAAAUUUCGAAAGAGACUGCAGGAUAUUUAUUUAUCCUGGUAACACCCAAAAGGACCUUUAAGGUGCAUGGGCUCAUUACACUGGACUUUAAGCAAAUAAAAAUGAGACAAGUUAUUUCCUUAAAGGUUUGCAGUCUCAGACAUCUGAGGGUUGGAAUGACCUGAGAAGCCAAUUCCCAUUUCUCUUCAGUCUUAAAACAAUUUGGCAGCUGUCUACUUCUUGCUCUGUUUUCUAGAGAUUUUAAUCACAGAGAAACGCAGUGGAUACUUCAUUAAGGUAUUUCCUUUUUUAGGCCAUUUUCUGCUCCUAACCUCUUUCUACAUCUGUCUUCACUGCAUAAUAAUCCUCAUUAUCCUUUUGCCUAUGUUUUCUCCUUUCUGGCACAAAAAGCCCACUUUUAUCCAGGCUACAUCUUGUGGUAUCUUUCUAAUUCUCUUCUUAGUACAGUUAUGCUAAUGAGAGUUUCACUGCGCUUCACAGAAUGAUCUGGUUCGUGAGCUGAGUCCUGUCUUCAGCUAUAAAUAUUUUAAUAGUGACCAGAUAGUGCCCAGUACACAGAAGGUCCCACAACAGGGGUGACAGGUUUCUGCUGUCUGGGAAAUACUUUGUCUUUGAAAAUCCCUGAGUUACAGCAAAAAUUGUCAGAUCAGGUAAAAUGAAAUAGCUCCUAUGAUGAUAAACCUAAGUUCUGUGCUUGAUUGUCUUUUAAAACAAGGGUUGAGUCAUUUAGUCCAGCCUCAAAAAAUUUCCUGCAAUACUGGACCACCACUGCUCUAUGGAAAGUUUACAGAGUUGUUAUUUUCUUUGUCUUGUUCUAAAUACAUUGCAAAACAAAAAUACUCCCCACAUCCCCCUCCUUCAGCCUGUUCUCCACAAAGCCAAUUCACCUGAAGCAUUUAAAUUGCUAUCAAUAGGAAGCAACGAUGAUGUACUGCAAAAUACUCAGGGACUAUAACCAAGUAAGAGCGCUUUUUUUAGUGGGCACACACAACUGAGAAACUGUAGUAGCAGCCCGUAAUAAUUGUCACUUCUGAUCACCAUGGGAACCAAACAGAGGUCUACUUUGCAGAAAACAGAUCAGCAGUGACUCACUGACUGCUUGGGACGCAUGAUUAUUGAGAAUUGCUAGACUUGUGUGGGUGACAGGGAAUAGUGAUGCUAUUUCAACCAUAGUCCCAUACAGCAGAGUCUCCUCUGCCAGACAUGCAGGAUGAAAACAAGUAAAUUAGUACUUUGUGUUCAUUAGAGACAAAUUUCACCUUUAGGAUUUUCUGCAGCUUCAGCCUUGUGUGGACUCUUUGCUAGGAAAGGAUUUAAUUUCUGGUGAAUGAAGUUCUAAUUGAGAUCCCAUUGGCUUUUACCAGGUCUUCUGCAACCCUCUUAGUGGCAAGACUUAACCCUUGAGCAGCACAGAGGCUUAGAGUUGCCACAUCAUCUGAACUACACUAGGAUGUGUACGACACAUAAAAGUCAGGCAGUAUUUCUGUCUGGACUACCCAGAAACUGAGAAGCUGGGCCCUUACAAUAAAGCUCCUACAUUAAGUAGAAAGCAAAAUAAAUGCACUGUCUCAUUAGCAUAAUUCAAAAGAGAAGCUGUCUUUGAGGUAAAAUAGUUUGUAUGAGACCAAAAUUUGCAAUAUAAGAUAUUUUUAGUGUUUUUCAGCUGGUCGCAAACUGUAGUUUCAGUCUUAUGCUUUCCUACUCCAGAAUUUUUCAACAUUGACUAAUUCAAUCAUAAUAUUUCUGGAAUGUCAAAGAAUUUCAGAUCAGAGAUUCUGAGAUUAUAAAGCCCAUAUCAACUCUUUGCUGGAUUAUUUCCACUGGCUCCUCACUCUGGCUGGAGAGUAACCACUGAAAGGAAAAUGGUAUUAGAUCCCCAACAUUUAUAUGUUCAUUUUUCACAAAUGGUAAUUCAAGAUGUUUUGACAAAACCAAAGUAUAUUCCUUAAUAACUGUCAUUCAAUGCCUCCUUGUGUUCUGUUCUUUCUCCCCUUGAACCAUCAUUUGAGUGCCUAAAUAUUCUCCAAGGAUGCCGUCAUAUGCACACCUGGCAGCUGGCAUAUAGGGGUUCUUUUCUGAUCCUUCUCCUAACAGAAAUAUCCACAGAUUGUAAGUUUUGAAAGAGCAGAUACACUCUUUUCUCCAUGAAAUGACAUGUGCUUUUAUUAACAAAGGCUGCUCACCACAGAGGACUUUUCAUGAGCAGAAAAUCAACUCCCUAAGUGGGAUUUGGCCAGGACAGAAUACAGCAUCCUGUCACACAGUUUCUAAAUUCAUGGACCUUUGGGAAAACAGAAGACAAGAAUCUGCAAAUUGAAGACAAGGACAUGGCCCUAGCUCUUUAGUUUGAUGGCACAGGCUUGCAUAGCAUAAAUGAAUAUAUGUCUAUUGUAGAGGUUCCAGUCCGUGAUGCUGCACAUUUGUCAGUUGGUCAGUAAACUUUUGAGAUUAAACGACGCAGAGGAACAAAAAUACUAAGAAGCCACUGUACCUCCCACACAGUCAGAGGACGAAACAUUAAAAUACCAAUUU
This 3564-nucleotide long non-coding RNA is filed under the name Taeniopygia guttata (zebra finch). RNAcentral's name for it is "lncRNA (ENSTGUG00000023562.1)". The record is from RNAcentral. Lineage: Eukaryota; Metazoa; Chordata; Aves; Passeriformes; Estrildidae.